AUGGCUCAGGAUGAACGCUGGCGGCGUGCUUAACACAUGCAAGUCGAACGAUGACUCUGUGCUUGCACAGAUGAUUAGUGGCGAACGGGUGAGUAACACGUGAGUAACCUGCCCUUGACUCUGGGAUAAGCCUGGGAAACUGGGUCUAAUACUGGAUAUGCACCGUGGACCGCAUGGUUCUUGGUGGAAAGAUUUUAUUGGUCAAGGAUGGACUCGCGGCCUAUCAGCUUGUUGGUGAGGUAAUGGCUCACCAAGGCGACGACGGGUAGCCGGCCUGAGAGGGUGACCGGCCACACUGGGACUGAGACACGGCCCAGACUCCUACGGGAGGCAGCAGUGGGGAAUAUUGCACAAUGGGCGAAAGCCUGAUGCAGCGACGCCGCGUGAGGGAUGACGGCCUUCGGGUUGUAAACCUCUUUCAGUAGGGAAGAAGCGAAAGUGACGGUACCUGCAGAAGAAGCGCCGGCUAACUACGUGCCAGCAGCCGCGGUAAUACGUAGGGCGCAAGCGUUAUCCGGAAUUAUUGGGCGUAAAGAGCUCGUAGGCGGUUUGUCGCGUCUAUCGUGAAAGUCCGAGGCUCAACCUCGGAUCUGCGGUGGGUACGGGCAGACUAGAGUGAUGUAGGGGAGACUGGAAUUCCUGGUGUAGCGGUGAAAUGCGCAGAUAUCAGGAGGAACACCGAUGGCGAAGGCAGGUCUCUGGGCAUUAACUGACGCUGAGGAGCGAAAGCAUGGGGAGCGAACAGGAUUAGAUACCCUGGUAGUCCAUGCCGUAAACGUUGGGCACUAGGUGUGGGGGACAUUCCACGUUUUCCGCGCCGUAGCUAACGCAUUAAGUGCCCCGCCUGGGGAGUACGGCCGCAAGGCUAAAACUCAAAGGAAUUGACGGGGGCCCGCACAAGCGGCGGAGCAUGCGGAUUAAUUCGAUGCAACGCGAAGAACCUUACCAAGGCUUGACAUGUGCUAGAUCGCCAUAGAAAUAUGGUUUCCCCUUUUGGGGCUGGUUCACAGGUGGUGCAUGGUUGUCGUCAGCUCGUGUCGUGAGAUGUUGGGUUAAGUCCCGCAACGAGCGCAACCCUCGUUCUAUGUUGCCAGCACGUGAUGGUGGGGACUCAUAGGAGACUGCCGGGGUCAACUCGGAGGAAGGUGGGGACGACGUCAAAUCAUCAUGCCCCUUAUGUCUUGGGCUUCACGCAUGCUACAAUGGCCGGUACAAUGGGUUGCGAUACUGUGAGGUGGAGCUAAUCCCAAAAAGCCGGUCUCAGUUCGGAUUGG
Molecule: ribosomal RNA, 1274 nt
Filed under: Paeniglutamicibacter antarcticus
Lineage: Bacteria; Bacillati; Actinomycetota; Actinomycetes; Micrococcales; Micrococcaceae
Description: bacterial SSU rRNA
Rfam family: Bacterial small subunit ribosomal RNA
Source: RNAcentral